GAGAAAUGGCGGACGAAGGAGGGAUGUCUAUUUCAUUCACUCUGUAUGGGCAAACUUUCAGACAUCUACUAACAACAUUAUUUUUGGGAAUAGGUGGAGGCACCUUUUAGGAGACAGAGACUUCUGGGAACAUCUCGGAGGAAUUGAUAUAUCCUUGGCCCCAUCCAGUUUUGGACAAGCAAAUACACGGGCGGGCUUUUGAUGCUUUGCUGCGAAAAUUACAAAAAUAUGUAUCUCUUGGAGCAUCUGUUGCUGAUUUGUAUGCAGGGGCUGGUGUGAUUGGGUUAUCAUUGGCUGCC
This 299-nucleotide unclassified non-coding RNA is filed under the name Hevea brasiliensis (rubber tree). Lineage: Eukaryota; Viridiplantae; Streptophyta; Magnoliopsida; Malpighiales; Euphorbiaceae. The record is from RNAcentral.